UAACGCGUAAGCAAUCUACCUUCAAGAUGGGGACAACACUUCGAAAGGGGUGCUAAUACCGAAUGAAUGUAAGAGUAUCGCAUGAGACACUUACUAAAGGAGGCCUCUGACAUAAGCUUCCGCUUGAAGAUGAGCUUGCGUCUGAUUAGCUAGUUGGUGAGGGUAAAGGCCCACCAAGGCGACGAUCAGUAGCCGGUCUGAGAGGAUGAACGGCCACAUUGGGACUGAGACACG
RNAcentral lists this ribosomal RNA (234 nucleotides) under Megamonas funiformis. RNAcentral's name for it is "partial 16S ribosomal RNA". It matches the Rfam family "Bacterial small subunit ribosomal RNA", at positions 111 to 328 of the family's 1533-position model. Lineage: Bacteria; Bacillati; Bacillota; Negativicutes; Selenomonadales; Selenomonadaceae. The record is from RNAcentral.